CCGUCUGCGUCUGAUCACUCUAACCUCGAUAGACAACGCGUGAGACAGAGAGGGUACGUGAUCAAGUACGAGGUCAGCCUCUGGGCUAGCUCGCCCGCCCGGUUCAAGAAACGCAACAAAGUGUGUGGUGG
This is a non-coding RNA of Caenorhabditis elegans, 131 nucleotides long. The record is from Ensembl. Lineage: Eukaryota; Metazoa; Nematoda; Chromadorea; Rhabditida; Rhabditidae.